Molecule: unclassified non-coding RNA, 160 nt
Organism: Macaca fascicularis (crab-eating macaque)
Lineage: Eukaryota; Metazoa; Chordata; Mammalia; Primates; Cercopithecidae
Rfam family: Metazoan signal recognition particle RNA
About the family: The signal recognition particle (SRP) is a universally conserved ribonucleoprotein. It is involved in the co-translational targeting of proteins to membranes. The eukaryotic SRP consists of a 300-nucleotide 7S RNA and six proteins: SRPs 72, 68, 54, 19, 14, and 9.
Source: Ensembl
GCCAGGCAUGGUGGGCACAUGCCUACAGUCCCAGCUACUUGGGAGGCUGAGGUGGGAGGAUUGCUUGAGCCCAGGAGUUCAAGACUGUAGUGUGUAAUGAUCAUGCCUGUGAAUAGCCACUGCACUAUAGCCUGGGCAACACAGUGAGAACCCAUCUCUA